This 238-nucleotide unclassified non-coding RNA is filed under the name uncultured fungus. RNAcentral describes it as "sequence contains ITS1, 5.8S rRNA gene". The stretch from base 190 to 238 matches the Rfam family "5.8S ribosomal RNA", at positions 1 to 49 of the family's 154-position model. Lineage: Eukaryota; Fungi. The record is from RNAcentral.
UCUCCGUUGGUGAACCAGCGGAGGGAUCAUUACAGGAUUCGCAAGAACUCCCGUAACCACUGUGAACCUUACCUUCUGUUGCCUCGGCGGGUUCUGCCUCCCAUCUCGGGAGCAGGCUCAAGCCCGCCGGUGGCCCAACUAAACUCUUGUAUUAUUUGUUAUCUGAGAGUUAUUUUUAAAAUAAGUCAAAACUUUCAACAACGGAUCUCUUGGUUCUGGCAUCGAUGAAGAACGCAGC